This 253-nucleotide ribosomal RNA is filed under the name uncultured bacterium. RNAcentral describes it as "partial 16S ribosomal RNA". It matches the Rfam family "Bacterial small subunit ribosomal RNA", at positions 524 to 776 of the family's 1533-position model. The record is from RNAcentral.
UACGAAGGGUGCAAGCGUUACUCGGAAUUACUGGGCGUAAAGCGUGCGUAGGUGGUUUGUUAAGUCUGUUGUGAAAGCCCCGGGCUCAACCUGGGAAUGGCAAUGGAUACUGGCAAGCUAGAGUGCGGUAGAGGGUAGUGGAAUUCCCGGUGUAGCGGUGAAAUGCGCAGAUAUCAGGAAGAACACCAAUGGCGAAAGCAGCUCUCUGGGACGGUACUGACGCUGAGACGCGAAAGCGUGGGGAGCGAACAGG